GAGCGCAGUAACCAGCUGCAGGUCGUUUUGAUCGAGACAUUGGAGAGAGGAGGGAGAUAGACUUCUGUUGAGCCUGAAGAAUCAAGGAGAGCCCUCGUGCUUUGCGUGACAUUUAGAACGAGUUAGAAAAAACAUCAAAGGUUUCUAAAAGAUAGAACAGCCCUCUCAACCCAUCCCUGUAGCCACAGGACCAUGUGCCAGUGAUGACUAGCUGUUGUAUCCCAGAGGCCCACCUUGGCAGUUAGAGGA
RNAcentral lists this long non-coding RNA (249 nucleotides) under Oncorhynchus mykiss (rainbow trout). RNAcentral's name for it is "lncRNA (ENSOMYG00000076953.1)". Lineage: Eukaryota; Metazoa; Chordata; Actinopteri; Salmoniformes; Salmonidae. The record is from RNAcentral.